UGCAAACUCCUUUUUUAAAUUACUCUACAUAUAUUAAUUUAUUUCGCAGUUUUUUCGCGCUCAAAAAAUGACGACUCUUUUUACUUGCUGCCGAAGACAAAGGUCAAAAUUUUUAAAUCGAUCCACACGGACUCUCUCUCUGAUCGACCGUCGAACCGAACGCAUCACGGACAAUUCCAAAGUGUAAAGCAAUUAAAAAGUGCCGGUACGUGUCAAACCCGCGGGUGCAGAGAACCAGCAACCCCCUUCAAGGGAUCAAGUUCUUCCGCAUGGUUCGGCGCCAGAAACAGAGCCGAUUCCGCAAGUUCGCGAGUGCAAUAAACGGGACCCCGUCCGGAACCGACGACACGAUAGCCUGCGCAUUCUAACGCCGAGUCACGGAAGAUGUAUAUAAAAGGAACAAGUUCUUGGAGGAACAUUUCAAUCAAAGACACGAAGACGACGACACGCACUAUAUGAUGUCCACCCUAGUUCAAUACGUACCAGUUUUGUGGAAAAACUGUGGAAGACACGACGUAAUGAAACAAAGUGGUAUCAAAAAUCAGAUAGCAUCCUACAUCUGUGAAGUGUGCAGAAAAACCAGCCCAUGGAAGAGAAUUGAAAAAAUUGCAAAGAAGUCCCAAAAAAAGAACACGAUUUUUUAAAAUUGUAUCCAAGAGAUUAUUUUUACGAUUUAGAGGAUUUUUGAACUUGUAUCAACAAACAUAUUGUUUAAUAACGGAAAUAAAAAUUUUUAGAGAUUAUUUUGUUUUUCUAUUCAAACUUAUCAAUAUUAAUAUUUACGUAAUCUUUCUGACUCGUCAUACAUUUAUCUAAAUAUUAUUUAUUUCUAUUCAAAUUUAUCAAUAAUUAAUAUUUACGUAACCUUUGUGACACGUAAUCCAUGCAAUUUGUUUAUCUUACAAUUUAUACAAGAAUAGACAAGUCAGCGGACGCGAGUUUUUUUAAUCAGUGACACCACUUUUUCCCCUAGGGGAGGUGCCAAAAAGGCACUAGCGGCGGGCACUAUGACGUCAUAAAAUGUUUUUAAUCAGUGACACCACUUUUUCCCCUAGGGCCUAGCCAAAAAGGUACUAUGACGUCACACCUCGACACAGGUGUAAUUAGCGGUUGACACACCUUAAUUAGCGACACCACCCCUAGGUACCCCAGAGGACCCCCUACACCUGUCACUAAUUACGGGUGUACACCUUAAUGGUGACACUUUCCACUUCUUCGGCGUGACCUUCACUUCUUUUACAGGACCCCUUACGAAGAACUAGCUUUGGUACACUGCUGAUGGAACAUGCCAUCGGUG
Cylas formicarius (sweet potato weevil) is the source of this 1297-nucleotide long non-coding RNA. RefSeq lists it as uncharacterized. The record is from RefSeq and is a predicted model, not a curated record. Lineage: Eukaryota; Metazoa; Arthropoda; Insecta; Coleoptera; Brentidae. The transcript is spliced from 3 exons.